This 144-nucleotide small RNA is filed under the name Flavobacterium frigoris. RNAcentral's name for it is "Flavo-1 RNA". It matches the Rfam family "Flavo-1 RNA". Lineage: Bacteria; Pseudomonadati; Bacteroidota; Flavobacteriia; Flavobacteriales; Flavobacteriaceae. The record is from RNAcentral.
AUUUACCCCAGAUUGAAGUGGAAAGCAUUUUUCUAGACCGAUUUGUUUUUUUCUUGAGCAAAAAGAGCGACCAAAGGAAGCUCCUUUAUGGUCUUAGAAAAAAGGAGGUCUGGAAAAAUCUUGUAACAGAAAGCUGGAAAUAGG